UCCGGCUUAUCACCGGCAGUCCCACUAGAGUGCCCAACUUAAUGAUGGCAACUAAUGGCAAGGGUUGCGCUCGUUGCGGGACUUAACCCAACAUCUCACGACACGAGCUGACGACUGCCAUGCACCACCUGUGUACGUGUCCCGAAGGAAAACCAGCAUCUCUGCUGGUAGCGCGGGAUGUCAAAGGCUGGUAAGGUUCUGCGCGUUGCUUCGAAUUAAACCACAUGCUCCACCGCUUGUGCAGGCCCCCGUCAAUUCCUUUGAGUUUUAAUCUUGCGACCGUACUCCCCAGGCGGAUAACUUAAUGCGUUAGCUGCGCCACCCAAGCACCAAGUGCCCGGACAGCUAGUUAUCAUCGUUUACGGCGUGGACUAC
Molecule: unclassified non-coding RNA, 375 nt
Filed under: uncultured Sphingomonadaceae bacterium
Lineage: Bacteria; Pseudomonadati; Pseudomonadota; Alphaproteobacteria; Sphingomonadales; Sphingomonadaceae
Description: contains 16S-23S intergenic spacer region
Source: RNAcentral